Molecule: ribosomal RNA, 497 nt
Filed under: uncultured bacterium
Lineage: Bacteria
Description: partial 16S ribosomal RNA
Rfam family: Bacterial small subunit ribosomal RNA
Source: RNAcentral
GAUGAACGCUGGCGGCGUGCCUAAUACAUGCAAGUCGAGCGAACAGACGAGGAGCUUGCUCCUCUGACUUUAGCUGCGGACGGGUGAGUCACCCGUGGAUCACCUACCUAUAAUCCUGGGAUAACUUCGGGAAACCGGGGCUAAUACCGGAUUAUAUUUUGACCCUCAUGCUUCAUUAGCGAACGACGGUUUUUCUGUCACUUAUUGAUGGAUCCGCGCCGCAUUAGCUAGUUGUUAAUGUAACGAGCUACCCAGGCAACGAUGCGUAGCCGACCUCAGAGGGUGGUCGGCCACACUAGAACUGAGACAGGGUCCCGGCUUCUACGUGAGGCAGCAGUAGGGUACGUUACGCAAGAGGUGAAAGCCUGACGCAGCAACGCCGCGUGAGUGAUGAGGGUCUUGGGUGCGUAAAUCACUGUUAUUAGGGAAGAACAAAUGUGUAAGUACCUAUGCACGUCUUGACGGUACCUAAUCAGAAAGCCACGGCUAACUACGUG